RNAcentral lists this ribosomal RNA (506 nucleotides) under uncultured bacterium. RNAcentral describes it as "partial 16S ribosomal RNA". It matches the Rfam family "Bacterial small subunit ribosomal RNA", at positions 29 to 523 of the family's 1533-position model. The record is from RNAcentral.
AGUGAACGCUGGCGGUAGGCCUAACACAUGCAAGUCGAACGGCAGCACAGGAGAGCUUGCUCUCUGGGUGGCGAGUGGCGGACGGGUGAGGAAUACAUCGGAAUCUACUUUUUCGUGGGGGAUAACGUAGGGAAACUUACGCUAAUACCGCAUACGACCUACGGGUGAAAGCAGGGGAUCUUCGGAACUUGCGCGAUUGAAUGAGCCGAUUUCGGAUUAGCUAGUUGGCGGGGUAAAGGCCCACCAAGUCGACGAUCCGUAGCUGGUCUGAGAGGAUGAUCAGCCACACUGGAACUGAGACACGGUCCAGACUCCUACGGGAGGCAGCAGUGGGGAAUAUUGGACAAUGGGCGCAAGCCUGAUCCAGCCAUACCGCGUGGGUGAAGAAGGCCUUCGGGUUGUAAAGCCCUUUUGUUGGGAAAGAAAUCCAGCUGGUUAAUACCCGGUUGGGAUGACGGUACCCAAAGAAUAAGCACCGGCUAACUUCGUGCCAGCCGUCGCAGUAA